Molecule: small RNA, 67 nt
Filed under: Bacillus sp. FJAT-27916
Lineage: Bacteria; Bacillati; Bacillota; Bacilli; Caryophanales; Bacillaceae
Also listed under: 1 other name
Description: Streptococcus sRNA SpF59 (ldcC RNA)
Rfam family: Streptococcus sRNA SpF59 (ldcC RNA)
Source: Rfam by way of RNAcentral
UGACCACAUUUCAUGGUUUCUAACCAUGGAACGUUAAGGCCAUACGGACAGCCGGGUCAAAUGCCGA